GGAGAGAUGGCAGAGCGGAUGAUUGCGGCGGUCUUGAAAACCGUUGAACCGAGAGGUUCCGUGGGUUCAAAUCCUACUCUCUCCG
RNAcentral lists this transfer RNA (85 nucleotides) under Bacilli bacterium. RNAcentral's name for it is "tRNA-Ser". It matches the Rfam family "tRNA". Rfam says of the family: Transfer RNA (tRNA) molecules are approximately 80 nucleotides in length. Their secondary structure includes four short double-helical elements and three loops (D, anti-codon, and T loops). Lineage: Bacteria; Bacillati; Bacillota; Bacilli. The record is from RNAcentral.